RNAcentral lists this transfer RNA (89 nucleotides) under Streptomyces fumanus. RNAcentral describes it as "tRNA-Pro(ggg)". The record is from RNAcentral. Lineage: Bacteria; Bacillati; Actinomycetota; Actinomycetes; Kitasatosporales; Streptomycetaceae.
CGGAGCGGUGGGCUGGUCAGGGGCCCGGGUUGGGGCUCCGGGCGGGGAUGACGUAGGAGGGGUCGGCCGUGCGGGGCGGCUCGCGCCGG